CUGAACCUCUGAACUUGUAAGGCAGCUCCAAUGAAAUUUUGUCCUUUAUAAAACUCGCAUUGGUCAUGGUGUCUUUCCAUGGCAGUAAAACCCCUAACUAAGACCGAUGGGUUUCAUUAACACUUCCAAGCCUGGGCAUUUUGACCCAAGCAGAUGCAGAUUCUGUCCAGGCGUCCUACUGUGUGCCUCUGUGCCCAGCAGAAAAGGAAGAGAAAUGGGUUCUUCCACUUGAGGUGACAAAUUUCUGUUUUUGUUUCUGUUUUUCUUUUUAAUGUUUAUUAUUUUCCAGCCCCAACAUGAGCCCUGGGAAUAUAAGAUGAAUGUCAUGUCGUCCCUUCCUGAAGAGGCUGAAGGGAGCAAGGUGAACCCAAUGUGCACAGAACAAAUGCACUUUGCCCAGGUCUUCAGGCUGUCACUGCACUCUGGCGUGCACUUUCUGUUUUGAUGAGUCACUGCAGGUUUCCUUUUCCCCCUAUAUUUCUUUGAGGAGGCAGGUGCAAUUUAAUAUUUGUCCAUUUAAAAUGUUUCAUUGUUUAUAACAAAUAAAAAUCACACACAUUUACAAUGUCUCACCAAAUGUAUCGUUUUUUGUAAUAAGAACCCUUUAACAAUGUAGCCAUCUUGAAGGAGGCAAACUGCUGAGUGGGUAGAAGGCUCCGCUGUUAGGAACACGGGCUGCUCUUCCAGAGGGCAUCUCAGGAGCAUCUGGGAUUUCAGCCUAAGAGAUCUGACACCCUCUCCUGGCUCCCUCAGGCACCAGGCAUUCAUGCGGUGUACGGACGUACAGCAUAACUACAGACAUUUCUGCAGUGGAACGAAAGCAAACUCAGCCUCUUAGCUGCCUUUCUCUAGUAUCUCAUUGCAGCAACAUGAAGCAAACACUGAUGGACUUCAGCUCUCCAUUUCUGAGAUGAUGCCCGUGGAUGCUUACUGUAGCCUCCUGACCUUUGUGUUUCUGUGUGGAGCAGCAGGAGUUGUCAGGAACGGCACUUGAGGAAUUCAUUGCCUGCUUUUCCAUGGAAGAUGUCAUUCUGCUGUCAAAAUAAUCCAAGGGCUCCUGCAGUUAUCAGCACAGGAAAGCAGCUCAGAGUCCCAGAGUGGCACAGUGUUGGAGCAGAUGAGAAUUCAGGGCAGGAUUUAUCUGGAAAUAUUACCAUCGAUGCAAAAGUGGGACUGAGGUAGACACAGUGCUGGAGAAGGAGCUGAGAGUUCUACAUACGGAUCGGCAGGCAGCAGGAUGUGAACGGAGACACAUCUCUUCCAACAAUGCCACGCUCACGCUGACAAGGCCACACCUCCUAAUAGUGCCACUCCCUAUGGACCUAGGGGGGCCAUUUUUAUUCAAACCACCACAGUACAUUUCUGUGCUGAAGGAAGAGUCUUGCAGAGUGGGAUCCUCGUUGUACCGAAAUGUGCUGGAGGUGAAUCUGGAAAGGGGAGUUGGUAAGCAGGCGGAGUUGAUGGGAACGGGGAAUUGUGAGAGGAGAUGGGGUGGGGAGCAACCACAAUGUAGUUCAACAUGUAUGAAACGGUCCAAGAACGAAGGUAACCAGGUACUCAACCUGAGGGAGUCGGAAAUGAGCGACAGCUUGCAUUCUGCCUUCAGAGCAGCCCUGCGGUCCAAAGCCACCUUGAAUGUUACUAAUGAGUCUGUAUCCCAAAGAGUAGAUUUGAAAACGCAGUCUUGAUGGAUUUUUAAAGACAACCCAAGCCUCACGAGGGACAGUGGUUCUUUUUUUUUUUUUUAAGGGUUUGAUGUCUCUUGUAGCUGCAACAGAGGCAUAAAAGUGCUGACUCUGCUAGCUCAGGGCUCCCUGCCUUCUUCUUAGGGAGAAUUAGCAUAUUAGCAUAUUAUGCAAAUCACUUUGCAAAUAUGGCGCAGAUGUCAUUAAUAAAACAUGAAAGAGGAA
RNAcentral lists this small RNA (1910 nucleotides) under Rattus norvegicus (Norway rat). RNAcentral describes it as "uncharacterized LOC102554419". The record is from RNAcentral. Lineage: Eukaryota; Metazoa; Chordata; Mammalia; Rodentia; Muridae.